CGCUUCACUCCUACGGGGAGGCAGCAGUAGGGAAUCUUCACAAUGGGCGCAAGCCUGAUGGAGCAACACCGCGUGAGUGAAGAAGGGUUUCGGCUCGUAAAGCUCUGUUGUUAAAGAAGAACACGUAUGAGAGUAACUGUUCAUACGUUGACGGUAUUUAACCAGAAAGUCACGGCUAACUACGUGCCAGCAGCCGCGGUAAUACGUAGGUGGCAAGCGUUAUCCGGAUUUAUUGGGCGUAAAGAGAGUGCAGGCGGUUUUCUAAGUCUGAUGUGAAAGCCUUCGGCUUAACCGGAGAAGUGCAUCGGAAACUGGAUAACUUGAGUGCAGAAGAGGGUAGUGGAACUCCAUGUGUAGCGGUGGAAUGCGUAGAUAUAUGGAAGAACACCAGUGGCGAAGGCGGCUACCUGGUCUGCAACUGACGCUGAGACUCGAAAGCAUGGGUAGCGAACAGGAUUAGAUACCCUGGUAG
Molecule: ribosomal RNA, 472 nt
Filed under: uncultured bacterium
Lineage: Bacteria
Description: bacterial SSU rRNA
Rfam family: Bacterial small subunit ribosomal RNA
Source: RNAcentral